This 21-nucleotide non-coding RNA is filed under the name Caenorhabditis elegans. The record is from RNAcentral. Lineage: Eukaryota; Metazoa; Nematoda; Chromadorea; Rhabditida; Rhabditidae.
UCAGCAAUGCAUAAGUCAAAG